AACGUAGGAGGCGAGCGUUAUCCGGAGUUACUGGGCGUAAAGAGCGUGUAGGCGGGUAUGCAAGUUUGGCGUGAAAGCUCCCGGCUAAACUGGGAGAGUGCGCUGAAGACUGCGUAUCUAGAGGCGAGUAGAGGGACGUGGAAUUCCGGGUGUAGUGGUGAAAUGCGUAGAGAUCCGGAGGAACACCAGUGGCGAAGGCGGCUCACUGGACCGCAACUGACGCUGAGGCGCGAAAGCUAGGGGAGCAAACAGG
Molecule: ribosomal RNA, 253 nt
Filed under: uncultured bacterium
Lineage: Bacteria
Description: partial 16S ribosomal RNA
Rfam family: Bacterial small subunit ribosomal RNA
Source: RNAcentral